Molecule: ribosomal RNA, 519 nt
Filed under: uncultured bacterium
Lineage: Bacteria
Description: bacterial SSU rRNA
Rfam family: Bacterial small subunit ribosomal RNA
Source: RNAcentral
GGACGAACGCUGGCGGCGUGCCUAAUACAUGCAAGUCGAACGGUCUUUCUAUGGAAGCUUGCUUCCACUGAGAAGAUAGUGGCGAACGGGUGAGUAACACGUGGGUAACCUGCCCAUAAGAGGGGGAUAACAUCCGGAAACGGGUGCUAAUACCGCAUAGUUUUCUUGAUCGCAUGAUCGGGAAAGGAAAGACGGCCUUUGUGCUGUCGCUUAUGGAUGGACCCGCGGCGUAUUAGUUAGUUGGUGAGGUAACGGCUCACCAAGACGAUGAUACGUAGCCGACCUGAGAGGGUGAUCGGCCACAUUGGGACUGAGACACGGCCCAAACUCCUACGGGAGGCAGCAGUAGGGAAUCUUCCGCAAUGGACGAAAGUCUGACGGAGCAACGCCGCGUGAGUGAAGAAAGGGUUUUCGGAUCGUAAAACUCUGUUGUCAGAGAAGAACAAGUUGGAGAGUAACUGCUCCAGCCUUGACGGUAUCUGACCAGAAAGCCACGGCUAACUACGUGCCAGCCGCAGC